This 207-nucleotide small nuclear RNA is filed under the name Panthera leo (lion). Its description in RNAcentral is "U2 spliceosomal RNA (ENSPLOG00000014188.1)". The stretch from base 1 to 183 matches the Rfam family "U2 spliceosomal RNA". From Rfam's summary of the family: U2 is a small nuclear RNA (snRNA) component of the spliceosome (involved in pre-mRNA splicing). Complementary binding between U2 snRNA (in an area lying towards the 5' end but 3' to hairpin I) and the branchpoint sequence (BPS) of the intron results the bulging out of an unpaired adenosine, on the BPS, which initiates a nucleophilic attack at the intronic 5' splice site, thus starting the first of two transesterification reactions that mediate splicing. The record is from RNAcentral. Lineage: Eukaryota; Metazoa; Chordata; Mammalia; Carnivora; Felidae.
AUCGCUUCUCGGCCUUUUGGCUAAGAUCAAGUGUAGUAUCUGUUCUUAUCAGUUUAAUAGAAUACUGGCCCUCAAACUUGGUGGCACAUUGGGAUCACCCUGGAGAGUGCUACAAAGUAGUGGUGCCAGAGACCCAUCUCCUGAUACUUGGAUCUCAUUGGUUUGGGGUCUAGGUAAUUCUAUGAACCGCAGUGUUUAAGAACCACU